Molecule: ribosomal RNA, 838 nt
Filed under: Paraboeremia putaminum
Lineage: Eukaryota; Fungi; Ascomycota; Dothideomycetes; Pleosporales; Didymellaceae
Description: partial large subunit ribosomal RNA
Rfam family: Eukaryotic large subunit ribosomal RNA
Source: RNAcentral
UUGCCCUAGUAACGGCGAGUGAAGCGGCAACAGCUCAAAUUUGAAAUCUGGCGUCUUUGGCGUCCGAGUUGUAAUUUGCAGAGGGCGCUUUGGCAUUGGCAGCGGUCCAAGUUCCUUGGAACAGGACGUCACAGAGGGUGAGAAUCCCGUACGUGGUCGCUAGCCUUUACCGUGUAAAGCCCCUUCGACGAGUCGAGUUGUUUGGGAAUGCAGCUCUAAAUGGGAGGUAAAUUUCUUCUAAAGCUAAAUACUGGCCAGAGACCGAUAGCGCACAAGUAGAGUGAUCGAAAGAUGAAAAGCACUUUGGAAAGAGAGUUAAAAAGCACGUGAAAUUGUUGAAAGGGAAGCGCUUGCAGCCAGACUUGCCUGUAGUUGCUCAUCCGGGUUUUUACCCGGUGCACUCUUCUAUAGGCAGGCCAGCAUCAGUUUGGGCGGUUGGAUAAAGGUCUCUGUCAUGUACCUCUCUUCGGGGAGAACUUAUAGGGGAGACGACAUGCAACCAGCCUGGACUGAGGUCCGCGCAUCUGCUAGGAUGCUGGCGUAAUGGCUGUAAGCGGCCCGUCUUGAAACACGGACCAAGGAGUCUAACAUCUAUGCGAGUGUUUGGGUGUCAAGCCCGAGCGCGUAAUGAAAGUGAACGGAGGUGGGAACCUUUCGGGGUGCACCAUCGACCGAUCCUGAUGUCUUCGGAUGGAUUUGAGUAAGAGCAUAGCUGUUGGGACCCGAAAGAUGGUGAACUAUGCUUGAAUAGGGUGAAGCCAGAGGAAACUCUGGUGGAGGCUCGCAGCGGUUCUGACGUGCAAAUCGAUCGUCAAAUUUGGGCAUAGGGGCGAAAGAC